RNAcentral lists this ribosomal RNA (255 nucleotides) under uncultured bacterium. RNAcentral describes it as "partial 16S ribosomal RNA". It matches the Rfam family "Bacterial small subunit ribosomal RNA", at positions 524 to 776 of the family's 1533-position model. The record is from RNAcentral.
UACGUAGGCAGCGAGCGUUGUUCGGAGUUACUGGGCGUAAAGGGUGUGUAGGCGGUUGUUUAAGUUUGGUGUGAAAUCUCCCGGCUCAACUGGGAGGGUGCGCCGAAUACUGAAUGACUUCGAGUGCGGGAGAGGAGAGUGGAAUUCCUGGUGUAGCGGUAGAAAUGCGUAGAUAUCAGGAGGAACACCGGUGGUGUAGACGGCUCUCUGGACCGUAACUGACGCUGAGACACGAAAGCGUGGGUAGCAAACAGG